AUUGAACGCUGGCGGCAGGCCUAACACAUGCAAGUCGAGCGGAGCGGCGGACGGGUGAGUAAUGCCUAGGAAUCUGCAUGGUAGUGGGGGAUAACGUCCGGACACGGGCGCUAAUACCGCAUACUAUCAGAUGAGCCUCGGUCGGAUUAGCUAGUUGGGGGGGUAAAGGCAUACCAAGGCGACGGUCCGUAACUGGUCUGAGAGGAUGAUCAGUCACACUGGAACUGAGACACGGUCCAGACGCCUACGGGAGGCAGCAGUCGGGAAUAUUGGACAAUGGGCGAAAGCCUGAUCCAGCCAUGCCGCGUGUGUGAAGAAGGUCUUCGGAUUGUAAAGCACUUUAAGUUGGGAGGCGUUACCAACAGAAUAAGCACCGGCUAACUUCGUGCCAGCCGCCGCGGUAAUAC
RNAcentral lists this ribosomal RNA (407 nucleotides) under uncultured bacterium. RNAcentral describes it as "partial 16S ribosomal RNA". It matches the Rfam family "Bacterial small subunit ribosomal RNA", at positions 30 to 526 of the family's 1533-position model. The record is from RNAcentral.